AACGAACGCUGGCGGCAUGCCUAACACAUGCAAGUCGAACGAGACCUCCGGGUCUAGUGGCGCACGGGUGCGUAACGCGUGGGAAGCUGCCCUUAGGUUCGGAAUAACUCCCCGAAAGGGGUGCUAAUACCGGAUAAUGUCUUCGGACACAAGAUUCAUCGCCUUUGGAUGGGCCCGCGUUGGUUUAGCUAGUUGGUAGGGUAAAAGCCUACCAAGGCGACGCUCCAUAGCUGGUCUAAGAGGAUGAUCAGCCACACUGGGGCUGGGACACGGCCCAGACUCCUACGGGAGGCAGCAGUGGGGAAUAUUGGACAAUCGGCGAAAGCCUGAUCCAGCAAUGCCGCGUGAGUGAUGAAGGCCUUAGGGUUGUAAAGCUCUUUUACCCGGGAUGAUAAUGACAGUACCGGGAGAAUAAGCUCCGGCUAACUCCGUG
RNAcentral lists this ribosomal RNA (433 nucleotides) under uncultured bacterium. RNAcentral's name for it is "partial 16S ribosomal RNA". It matches the Rfam family "Bacterial small subunit ribosomal RNA", at positions 29 to 507 of the family's 1533-position model. The record is from RNAcentral.